Molecule: transfer RNA, 72 nt
Filed under: Saimiri boliviensis boliviensis (Bolivian squirrel monkey)
Lineage: Eukaryota; Metazoa; Chordata; Mammalia; Primates; Cebidae
Description: tRNA-Gln (CTG) (tRNA-Gln-CTG-3-1)
Rfam family: tRNA
About the family: Transfer RNA (tRNA) molecules are approximately 80 nucleotides in length.
Source: Rfam by way of RNAcentral
GGUUCUGUGAUGUAAUGGUUAGCACUCUGGACUCUGAAUCCAGUAAUCCGAGUUCAAAUCUCGGUGGAACCU